Molecule: non-coding RNA, 1385 nt
Organism: Prunus avium (sweet cherry)
Lineage: Eukaryota; Viridiplantae; Streptophyta; Magnoliopsida; Rosales; Rosaceae
Source: RefSeq, a predicted model, not a curated record
AUGCCAGAAUAAACAUAUCGAAGCUUAAGAAAUUGGUUAAAAUCUUUUAUAAAAGAUUCUGAAGCGCUAUCCAUAUAGAAGCUGUUUUGCAUAUGACAAUUUGGUUGCCUCAUCUUCAUUAGAGAAGGUCAUUGGCAAUGUAUUUUCAUUUCAGCAUCUGUACAAAAUUCUUGGGGAUGCGACCAAUUAUCUUCCUCUAUAAACUCCCCAGCUUAACAUCUUCGAUUAGGCAGUAGUCAAAAACUUCAAUUGAUAUAAGGAAAACAGCUGGUUGUGGGCUCUAGUUAAAACCUGAAUUUACAAUACAGAAUCUUUCAAGUUUUGUUUGACUUGGAACAUAACCAGGCAGCAUUCCUCUUUUAUCAUUUUAAGAGAGAUGAUCUAUUAAGAAGUUCAAUGAACAGCUGAACACCAUAACAGUGGGAAAGAUUCUAACCAGUGUUAGAGUCGAAGAGAUAAGUACUCCUGCCUCUUACUAAAUGAAAAAUGGUAUCCUUCUUCGAUCUGAAACCAAUAAUUGGAGCAGUGAGAGCAUGAGUUGCCUACACAUAAUAGGCCCUGUUGUGAUAGGAUUUCGGACAAUUGACAUAAUGAUUGAGAAUAAAGAUAUUAAGUUUACCCAAUUAGGUGGUUCUAGUUUUCUUCUGUUUUCUGUCUCAUCAUUUUUAUCAAUUGAAAUCAAACAAAUGCAGUCCAACAUCACUCAAGUAUCCUUUUACCUUGUAUUUCCAACAUAAAAAUCACUUUUUGGCGUGCUUUGCGUGAUGACCCACUGAAUCAUGUUAAGUGCAUUGUGUUUAUGUUUGAUGCAUCAAUCGGUUUCUGAUCUUUGGUUUUCUUGUUGGUUUUUCUGCAGAGAGAUAAUGAAGAUGAGGAGUUGUGUAGUGUUUUUGUCCCAACAAAUCAUCUAUACAUAGGCGAUAUAUUUCUUGUUAACUCCAAAGAGAUCAUAAGACCAAAUCUGUCUAUUCGAGAAGGCAUAGAGAUAAUUGUUUCUGGGGGUAUGUCAAUGCCCCAAAUCAUUUCUCCUCAACAAAGGAUUGCCCAGCAGAAUGAGAAAAUUCCGUUGAACAGAAUAAAGUGAUUGCAUCGAACCGAGACGUUUAUGGUAAUUUUAUGAUAUUUCAGUAUGUGCCAUGAUACAUGAAGCAUCUCAGUGUUCUCUGUUCGCUGGAAUGAUGAGAUUAGGGUUGUUCAUAGCAGUAGGCUUUUUGAGGAAAUAUUAUGCUCUUUUCAGUUUUGUAGUUAUACUCACAUUGGGAAGUGCAUUUGUAUACCAUAUGAUUAAAUGAUGUAUCGUCUAUGUUUAUUUAGACAAAAAGGGCUGGAGUCUCAACAACAUGAUUCUUUACGUAAUAUAUCUUGUAAAAAAUAAUUUCACUCUC